RNAcentral lists this ribosomal RNA (253 nucleotides) under uncultured bacterium. RNAcentral's name for it is "partial 16S ribosomal RNA". It matches the Rfam family "Bacterial small subunit ribosomal RNA", at positions 524 to 776 of the family's 1533-position model. The record is from RNAcentral.
UACGUAGGCAGCGAGCGUUGUUCGGAGUUACUGGGCGUAAAGGGUGUGUAGGCGGUUUUCUAAGUUUGGUGUGAAAUCUCCCGGCUUAACCGGGAGGGUGCGCCGAAAACUGGGAGACUAGAGUGCGGGAUGGGAGAGUAGAAUUCCUGGUGUAGCGGUGAAAUGCGUAGAUAUCAGGGGGAAUACCGGUGGUGCAGACGGCUCUCUGGACCGCAACUGACGCUGAGACACGAAAGCGUGGGGAGCAAACAGG